AGAGUUUGAUCCUGGCUCAGAUUGAACGCUGGCGGCAGGCCUAACACAUGCAAGUCGAGCGGAGGUAGCAAUACCUUAGCGGCGGACGGGUGAGGAAUGCAUCGGAACGUGCCGUGUAGUGGGGGAUAACACAGCGAAAGUUGUGCUAAUACCGCAUACGCCCUGAGGGGGAAAGUGGGGGACCGCAAGGCCUCACGCUAUAUGAGCGGCCGAUGCCCGAUUAGCUAGUUGGUGAGGUAAUGGCUCACCAAGGCGACGAUCGGUAGCUGGUCUGAGAGGAUGAUCAGCCACACUGGAACUGAGACACGGUCCAGACUCCUACGGGAGGCAGCAGUGGGGAAUAUUGGACAAUGGGCGCAAGCCUGAUCCAGCCAUGCCGCGUGAGUGAAGAAGGCCUUCGGGUUGUAAAGCUCUUUCGGCGGGGAAGAAAUUGCACUCGUUAAUACCGGGUGUAGAUGACGGUACCCGCAUAAGAAGCACCGGCUAACUACGUGCCAGCAGCCGCGGUAAUACGUAGGGUGCGAGCGUUAAUCGGAAUUACUGGGCGUAAAGCGUGCGCAGGUGGUUGUGUAAGUCAGAUGUGAAAUCCCCGGGCUCAACCUGGGAACUGCAUUUGAGACUGCACGGCUAGAGGAUGGCAGAGGGGGGUAGAAUUCCACGUGUAGCAGUGAAAUGCGUAGAGAUGUGGAGGAAUACCGAUGGCGAAGGCAGCCCCCUGGGCUAUUUCUGACACUCAUGCACGAAAGCGUGGGGAGCAAACAGGAUUAGAUACCC
RNAcentral lists this ribosomal RNA (774 nucleotides) under uncultured bacterium. RNAcentral's name for it is "bacterial SSU rRNA". It matches the Rfam family "Bacterial small subunit ribosomal RNA", at positions 8 to 787 of the family's 1533-position model. The record is from RNAcentral.